CGCCAGCAGCCGCGGUAAUACAGAGGUCCCAAGCGUUGUUCGGAUUUACUGGGCGUAAAGGGUGCGUAGGCGGUUGGGUAAGUCUGAUGUGAAAUCCCCGGGCCCAACCCGGGAACUGCAUUAGAAACUGCCUGGCUGGAGGGUUGGAGGGGGGACUGGAAUUCCCGGUGUAGCAGUGAAAUGCGUAGAUAUCGGGAGGAACGCCAGUGGCGAAGGCGAGUCCCUGGACAACACCUGACGCUGAGGCACGAAAGCUAGGGGAGCAAACAGGAUUAGAUACCCUGGUAGUCCUAGCCGUAAACGGUGCGUGUUUGCUGUGGGCGGAAUCGACCCCGUCCGUGGCGGAGCUAACGCGUUAAACACGCCGCCUGGGGAGUACGGUCGCAAGAUUAAAACUUAAAUGAAUUGACGG
This 412-nucleotide ribosomal RNA is filed under the name uncultured bacterium. RNAcentral's name for it is "bacterial SSU rRNA". It matches the Rfam family "Bacterial small subunit ribosomal RNA", at positions 506 to 916 of the family's 1533-position model. The record is from RNAcentral.